UCAAACUUGGUCAUUUAGAGGAAGUAAAAGUCGUAACAAGGUUUCCGUAGGUGAACCUGCGGAAGGAUCAUUACCAAAAAAUAGUUCUUUCAAUAUGAGAAAGAUCUUUUCCUUUGUGCUGGCUUUGACCGUUUGUAAUUUUGGGACUUAAAUAAGAUUCUUUAAGGAUCAGUCCCCAAAACACUAUUAUACCAACCUUGACUGAACAAAUGAAUUUUGAUUUAAAAAACAACUUUCAACAACGGAUCUCUUGGUUCUCGCAUCGAUGAAGAACGCAGC
This 279-nucleotide unclassified non-coding RNA is filed under the name uncultured fungus. RNAcentral describes it as "partial contains small subunit ribosomal RNA, internal transcribed spacer 1, and 5.8S ribosomal RNA". The stretch from base 1 to 73 matches the Rfam family "Eukaryotic small subunit ribosomal RNA", at positions 1759 to 1831 of the family's 1831-position model. Lineage: Eukaryota; Fungi. The record is from RNAcentral.